UAGGGUAGUUUGUUUAUCCUAAUUACUGGGCGUAAGCGUGCGCAGGCGGUUGUGCAAGACAGAUGUGAAAUCCCCGGGCUCAACCUGGGAAUUGCAUUUGUGACUGCACGGCUAGAGUGUGUCAGAGGGGGGUAGAAUUCCACGUGUAGCAGUGAAAUGCGUAGAGAUGUGGAGGGAUACCGAUGGCGAAGGCAGCCCCCUGGGAUAACACUGACGCUCAUGCACGAAAGCGUGGGGAGCAAACAGGAUUAGAUACCCUGGUAGUCCACGCCCUAAACGAUGUCAACUAGUUGUCGGGUCUUAAUUGACUUGGUAACGCAGCUAACGCGUGAAGUUGACCGCCUGGGGAGUACGGUCGCAAGAUUAAAACUCAAAGGAAUUGAUGGGGACCCGCACAAGCGGUGGAUGAUGUGGAUUAAUUCGAUGCAACGCGAAAAACCUUACCUACCCUUGACAUGGCAGGAAUCCCGGAGAGAUUCGGGAGUGCUCGAAAGAGAACCUGCACACAGGUGCUGCAUGGCUGUCGUCAGCUCGUGCCGUGAGAUGUUGGGUUAAGUCCCGCAACGAGCGCAACCCUUGUCAUUAGUUGCUACGAAAGGGCACUCUAAUGAGACUGCCGGUGACAAACCGGAGGAAGGUCGGGAUGACGUCAAGUCCUCAUGGCCCUUAUGGGUAGGGCUUCACACGUCAUACAAUGGUACAUACAGAGGGCCGCCAACCCGCGAGGGGGAGCUAAUCCCAGAAAGUGUAUCGUCUCCGGAUUGGAGUCUGCAACUCGACUCCAUGAAAUUGGAAUCGCUAGUAAUCGCGGAUCAGCAUGUUCGCGGUGAAUACGUUCCCCCCGUCUUGUACACACCGCCCGUCACACCAUGGAAGCGGGUUUUACCAGAUAGUAGGUAGCUUACUCGCAAGGAGGGCGCUUACCACGGUAGGAUUCGUGACUGGGGUG
This 949-nucleotide ribosomal RNA is filed under the name uncultured bacterium. RNAcentral describes it as "bacterial SSU rRNA". It matches the Rfam family "Bacterial small subunit ribosomal RNA", at positions 528 to 1482 of the family's 1533-position model. The record is from RNAcentral.